CGUAGGGACCAAGCGUUGUUCGGAUUUACUGGGCGUAAAGGGCGCGUAGGCGGCCCCGCAAGUCACUGGUGAAAUCUCCGGGCUUAACUCGGAACGGCCAAGUGAAACUGCGAGGCUAGAGUGCAGAAGGGGCAAUCGGAAUUCUUGGUGUAGCGGUGAAAUGCGUAGAUAUCAAGAGGAACACCUGAGGUGAAGACGGGUUGCUGGGCUGACACUGACGCUGAGGCGCGAAAGCCAGGGGAGCAAACGGGAUUAGAUACCCCGGUAGUCCUGGCCCUAAACGAUGAAUACUUGGUGUCUGGAGUUAUUAGUGCUCCGGGUGCCGUCGCUAACGUUUUUAGUAUUCCGCCUGGGGAGUACGCUCGCAAGAGUG
Molecule: ribosomal RNA, 373 nt
Filed under: uncultured organism
Description: bacterial SSU rRNA
Rfam family: Bacterial small subunit ribosomal RNA
Source: RNAcentral